UCAAGCAGACGUUGAGGCGCUUGAGGAGCUACUGGGGGACCGCAGUCUAAUGUCUGCUGUUGUUGCCAUGGUGGCAGACAUAGGGGGCACAAAUGUAGAUGACGCAACGAGACGAAUGAUGAAAUACAUUCUGUCAAACGAGCUGGCAUUGGACAACAUGUUUGGCCGUCACGGGAAAAAGAAGUUUAAGGACUUGUGUCUUUCAACGUUCUGUAUGAGGCUCUUAAGAAGAAUUCGUUGACUGCACAGGUGAACCAGCAGGAGGCAGAGAGGGCACUGUCGAAAUGGUUCACUGGGGCAAGAGACAGAGGAGGACGAAGGUUAUCUAGACAGCCAGUGCCAAAUUAAACAGAACUGAGCAGUGGUGGAAUGUGAGUGCAGAACAUUUGUAUUCAGCU
This is a long non-coding RNA of Etheostoma spectabile (orangethroat darter), 398 nucleotides long. RefSeq lists it as uncharacterized. The transcript has 3 exons. NCBI's taxonomy places the organism in Eukaryota, Metazoa, Chordata, Actinopteri, Perciformes, Percidae. The record is from RefSeq and is a predicted model, not a curated record.